This 593-nucleotide long non-coding RNA is filed under the name Malus domestica (apple). Its description in RNAcentral is "long non-coding RNA (MDOM_LNC012913)". Lineage: Eukaryota; Viridiplantae; Streptophyta; Magnoliopsida; Rosales; Rosaceae. The record is from RNAcentral.
UUGUCUUUAAUGGCUUGUAAAUGUACCUAAGUAGUCUCAUCCUCACAAUCUUCCUAUUGAUAAUGUAUCAGUAGAAGAAUAUGUAGAAAAUGUCUAUCAUAAAGAGGACAACACUUUUAAUGUCAUAAUUCUUCAAUUACAAAUUGUUGUAUGAAGAAAUAAGAGUUGCUUUGAACAACCCUUAGUCAAUGCAAACACUUAGUGCUUGUUUCUUUGUUACAUGAACAAGGAACUUGAGAAGUAAGCACAAGGGCAUGGACACUUUAUGUGCCAUGAUUCUUCACUUACAAAUUGUUGUAUGAAGAAAUGAGAGUUGCCUUGUACAACUCUUGAAAGUUUGUAAUUAUGUUUACAACAUAAUGGUUGGUUGACAAAAAUAGUCCAUCAACAUGGACUUAUGAUGAUUUUGAAUCAUUGAGUGUUGAAGUGAUAAACCACUUAACGAGACGGAAACUAGGCAAGGACUUCACCUUUAUGUCCCAAUCCUAAUGGUUCACUAAGUUUAUUGUAAACUAUAUAGUGAACAAUAAACACAUACUCUCCAAAAUCGUUUGAUGUGUAUAACACAAUUGAAAUAAGUUUCAAGAGAGAUA